CCCCAUGUAGCUGAGACAGAGUAGCGCCAGAGUGAAAUCCUGGAGACGGAGGUGCGAGCACUCUCGUGGGGG
This 72-nucleotide transfer RNA is filed under the name Caulobacter phage CcrColossus. It matches the Rfam family "tRNA". From Rfam's summary of the family: Transfer RNA (tRNA) molecules are approximately 80 nucleotides in length. Their secondary structure includes four short double-helical elements and three loops (D, anti-codon, and T loops). Lineage: Duplodnaviria; Heunggongvirae; Uroviricota; Caudoviricetes; Jeanschmidtviridae. The record is from Rfam by way of RNAcentral.